ACUCCUACGGGAGGCAGCAGUGGGAAUAUUGCACAAUGGGCGCAAGCCUGAUGCAGCCAUGCCGCGUGUGUGAAGAAGGCCUUCGGGUUGUAAAGCACUUUCAGUUGUGAGGAAGGUGGUGUCGUUAAUAGCGGCAUCAUUUUGACGUUUAGCAACAGAAGAAGCACCGGCUAACUCCGUGCCAGCAGCCGCGGUAAUACGGAGGGUGCGAGCGUUAAUCGGAAUUACUGGGCGUAAAGCGUGCGCAGGCGGUUCUGUUAAGCGAGAUGUGAAAGCCCCGGGGCUCAACCUGGGAACUGCAUUUUCGAACUGGCAGACUAGAGUCUUGUAGAGGGGGGUAGAAUUCCAGGUGUAGCGGUGAAAAUGCGUAGAGAUCUGGAGGAAUACCGGUGGCGAAGGCGGCCCCCCUGGACAAAGACUGACGCUCAGGCACGAAAGCGUGGGGAGCAAACAGGAUUAGAUACCCUGGUAGGCUCU
Molecule: ribosomal RNA, 477 nt
Filed under: uncultured bacterium
Lineage: Bacteria
Description: bacterial SSU rRNA
Rfam family: Bacterial small subunit ribosomal RNA
Source: RNAcentral